GCGAAAAUAACUCAAUAGGUAGAGUCUAAUCUUGCCAAGAUUAUGGUUGAGGGUUCAAAUCCCUUUUUUCGCU
Molecule: transfer RNA, 73 nt
Filed under: Gracilaria edulis
Lineage: Eukaryota; Rhodophyta; Florideophyceae; Gracilariales; Gracilariaceae
Description: tRNA-Gly
Rfam family: tRNA
About the family: Transfer RNA (tRNA) molecules are approximately 80 nucleotides in length. Their secondary structure includes four short double-helical elements and three loops (D, anti-codon, and T loops). Further hydrogen bonds mediate the characteristic L-shaped molecular structure. tRNAs have two regions of fundamental functional importance: the anti-codon, which is responsible for specific mRNA codon recognition, and the 3' end, to which the tRNAs corresponding amino acid is attached (by aminoacyl-tRNA synthetases). tRNAs cope with the degeneracy of the genetic code in two manners: having more than one tRNA (with a specific anti-codon) for a particular amino acid; and 'wobble' base-pairing, i.e. permitting non-standard base-pairing at the 3rd anti-codon position.
Source: RNAcentral